RNAcentral lists this non-coding RNA (30 nucleotides) under Rattus norvegicus (Norway rat). The record is from RNAcentral. Lineage: Eukaryota; Metazoa; Chordata; Mammalia; Rodentia; Muridae.
UCUGAGUUAAAUUCUUGUUUGUGCCUCAGU